AGAGUUUGAUCAUGGCUCAGGACGAACGCUGGCGGCGUGCCUAAUACAUGCAAGUCGAGCGAAUUUACGAGGGCUUGCUCUCGUAAAUUAGCGGCGGACGGGUGAGUAACACGUGGGCAACCUGCCUAUAAGACUGGGAUAACUUCGGGAAACCGGAGCUAAUACCGGAUAAUUCAUAUCUACUCAUGUAGAUAUGCUGAAAGACGGUUUACGCUGUCACUUAUAGAUGGGCCCGCGGCGCAUUAGCUAGUUGGUGAGGUAACGGCUCACCAAGGCCACGAUGCGUAGCCGACCUGAGAGGGUGAUCGGCCACACUGGGACUGAGACACGGCCCAGACUCCUACGGGAGGCAGCAGUAGGGAAUCUUCCGCAAUGGACGAAAGUCUGACGGAGCAACGCCGCGUGAGUGAUGAAGGUUUUCGGAUCGUAAAACUCUGUUGUUAGGGAAGAACAAGUACCAGAGUAACUGCUGGUACCUUGACGGUACCUAACCAGAAAGCCACGGCUAACUACGUGCCAGCAGCCGCGGUA
RNAcentral lists this ribosomal RNA (531 nucleotides) under uncultured Bacillota bacterium. Its description in RNAcentral is "bacterial SSU rRNA". It matches the Rfam family "Bacterial small subunit ribosomal RNA", at positions 8 to 522 of the family's 1533-position model. Lineage: Bacteria; Bacillati; Bacillota. The record is from RNAcentral.